This 76-nucleotide transfer RNA is filed under the name Bryobacteraceae bacterium. Its description in RNAcentral is "tRNA-Lys". It matches the Rfam family "tRNA". From Rfam's summary of the family: Transfer RNA (tRNA) molecules are approximately 80 nucleotides in length. Their secondary structure includes four short double-helical elements and three loops (D, anti-codon, and T loops). Lineage: Bacteria; Pseudomonadati; Acidobacteriota; Terriglobia; Bryobacterales; Bryobacteraceae. The record is from RNAcentral.
GGGCCGGUAGCUCAGAUGGUAGAGCACGACACUUUUAAUGUUGUGGUCGUGGGUUCGAGUCCCACCCGGCUCACCA